This is a non-coding RNA of Pelobates cultripes (western spadefoot toad), 138 nucleotides long. The record is from the annotation of a GenBank genome assembly. NCBI's taxonomy places the organism in Eukaryota, Metazoa, Chordata, Amphibia, Anura, Pelobatidae.
ACGUCCUGGCCAAUCUCCAGCAGACCCUCCCUCCCAGACCCUCCUACUUCCUGGACAGCAUCCAUGUUUCAACAUGGAUGCUGUCCAGGAAGUAGGAGGGCCUGGGAGGGAGGGUCUGCUGGAGAUUUCAACAUGGAU